Molecule: transfer RNA, 74 nt
Filed under: Nanobdellota archaeon
Lineage: Archaea; Nanobdellati; Nanobdellota
Description: tRNA-Pro
Rfam family: tRNA
About the family: Transfer RNA (tRNA) molecules are approximately 80 nucleotides in length. Their secondary structure includes four short double-helical elements and three loops (D, anti-codon, and T loops). Further hydrogen bonds mediate the characteristic L-shaped molecular structure. tRNAs have two regions of fundamental functional importance: the anti-codon, which is responsible for specific mRNA codon recognition, and the 3' end, to which the tRNAs corresponding amino acid is attached (by aminoacyl-tRNA synthetases). tRNAs cope with the degeneracy of the genetic code in two manners: having more than one tRNA (with a specific anti-codon) for a particular amino acid; and 'wobble' base-pairing, i.e. permitting non-standard base-pairing at the 3rd anti-codon position.
Source: RNAcentral
GGGACUGUAGUGUAGUUUGGUUAUCACUGGAGGUUUGGGACUUCCUAACCGCGGUUCAAAUCCGCGCAGUCCCA